RNAcentral lists this ribosomal RNA (549 nucleotides) under uncultured bacterium. RNAcentral describes it as "bacterial SSU rRNA". It matches the Rfam family "Bacterial small subunit ribosomal RNA", at positions 355 to 896 of the family's 1533-position model. The record is from RNAcentral.
UAGGGAAUCUUCGGCAAUGGACGGAAGUCUGACCGAGCAACGCCGCGUGAGUGAAGAAGGUUUUCGGAUCGUAAAGCUCUGUUGUAAGAGAAGAACGAGUGUGAGAGUGGAAAGUUCACACUGUGACGGUAUCUUACCAGAAAGGGACGGCUAACUACGUGCCAGCAGCCGCGGUAAUACGUAGGUCCCGAGCGUUGUCCGGAUUUAUUGGGCGUAAAGCGCGCGCAGGUGGUUUAAUAAGUCUGAUGUGAAAGCCCACGGCUCAACCGUGGAGGGUCAUUGGAAACUGUUAAACUUGAGUGCAGGAGAGAAAAGUGGAAUUCCUAGUGUAGCGGUGAAAUGCGUAGAGAUUAGGAGGAACACCAGUGGCGAAGGCGGCUUUUUGGCCUGUAACUGACACUGAGGCGCGAAAGCGUGGGGAGCAAACAGGAUUAGAUACCCUGGUAGUCCACGCCGUAAACGAUGAGUGCUAAGUGUUGGUCUCAUAAGAGAUCAGUGCUGCAGCUAACGCAUUAAGCACUCCGCCUGGGGAGUACGACCGCAAGGUUG